AAUCUUGCGCAAUGUGCGAAAGCCUGACGCAGCCAUGCCGCGUGAAUGAUGAAGGUCUUAGGAUUGUAAAAUUCUUUCACCGGGGACGAUAAUGACGCUACCCGGAGAAGAAGCCCAGGCUCACUUCGUGCCAUCAGCCGCGGUAAUACGAGGAGGGCUAGCGUUGCUAGGAAUUACUGGGCGUAAAGGGCGCGUAGGCGGACAUUUAAGUCAGCGGUGAAAUCCCAGAGCUCAACUCUGGAACUGCCUUUGAUACUGGGUGUCUUGAGUGUGAGAGAGGUAUGUGGAACUCCGAGUGUAGAGGUGAAAUUCGUAGAUAUUCGGAAGAACACCAGUGGCGAAGGCGACAUACUGGCUCAUUACUGACGCUGAGGCGCGAAAGCGUGGGGAGCAAACA
This 397-nucleotide ribosomal RNA is filed under the name uncultured bacterium. Its description in RNAcentral is "partial 16S ribosomal RNA". It matches the Rfam family "Bacterial small subunit ribosomal RNA", at positions 360 to 774 of the family's 1533-position model. The record is from RNAcentral.